UACGAAGGGGGCUAGCGUUGCUCGGAAUCACUGGGCGUAAAGCGCACGUAGGGAUUGUUAAGUCAGGGGUGAAAUCCUGGAGCUCAACUCCAGAACUGCCUUUGAUACUGGCGAUCUCGAGUCCGGGAGAGGUGAGUGGAACUGCGAGUGUAGAGGUGAAAUUCGUAGAUAUUCGCAAGAACACGAGUGGCGAAGGCGGCUCACUGGCCCGGUACUGACGCUGAGGUGCGAAAGCGUGGGGAGCAAACAGG
Molecule: ribosomal RNA, 251 nt
Filed under: uncultured bacterium
Lineage: Bacteria
Description: partial 16S ribosomal RNA
Rfam family: Bacterial small subunit ribosomal RNA
Source: RNAcentral